This is a non-coding RNA of Labrus bergylta (ballan wrasse), 558 nucleotides long. NCBI's taxonomy places the organism in Eukaryota, Metazoa, Chordata, Actinopteri, Labriformes, Labridae. The record is from the annotation of a RefSeq genome assembly.
UCCUCCACAUGUCAGGUGUGUGCUGUCUCAUUUGAGCAGUCUCCUCCACAGAUAGUGAAGGAGAACACUGAGGUCCAGAUCACCUGCAGACAUGAUGAUAACGUCCGCUGAUGCUCUGGUAUCAGCAGAGAAACGACGGCCAGCCGCUGACCCUAAUUGGGUUUGAAAAUGGGAAAAGUACCCCAAGAUCGAGCGACAGGUGUGACGUUUCAGCAGUCUCAUCCCAGAAUAGUCAUCAACACAGCCAGGAUAGAAAUUGGAUGCAGCCAUAAUGAUGCCAACCUCUACGUGAUGCUCUGGUACCAGCAAACACAAAGCGGCCUGAUGAAUUUAAUCGGUGACAGCUACCUUAUCGGUGAACCCGACUAUGAGAAGAAGUUCAAGGAUCGGUUUGAGAUUACAAGAAAAGAUUUGACAACAGCAGCUCUGAUUAUUCCCAGUGUGACUCCAUCAGACUCAGCUGUGUAUUUCUGUGCUGCCAGUAACACAGUGAUGUGGUUUAAUAUCAGCCCCUCACUAAAACCCUCCUUUGUUUGUUUCCUCUGUGACAGCUGGUAG